ACGACGUCAAAUCAUCAUGCCCUUUAUGUCCCUGGGCUACACACGUACUACAAUGGCCGUUACAACGGGAAGCGAAGGAGCAAUCCGGAGCAAAUCCCUUAAAGGCGGUCCCAAGUUCAGAUUGUGGGCUGAAACUCGCCCACAUGAAGCGGAAUUGCUAGUAAUUGCAGAUCAGCAUGCUGCAGUGAAUACGUUCCCGGGCCUU
This 205-nucleotide ribosomal RNA is filed under the name uncultured Oscillospiraceae bacterium. RNAcentral describes it as "partial 16S ribosomal RNA". It matches the Rfam family "Bacterial small subunit ribosomal RNA", at positions 1179 to 1382 of the family's 1533-position model. Lineage: Bacteria; Bacillati; Bacillota; Clostridia; Eubacteriales; Oscillospiraceae. The record is from RNAcentral.